Molecule: ribosomal RNA, 450 nt
Filed under: uncultured bacterium
Lineage: Bacteria
Description: partial 16S ribosomal RNA
Rfam family: Bacterial small subunit ribosomal RNA
Source: RNAcentral
GUGGGGAAUAUUGCGCAAUGGGCGAAAGCCUGACGCAGCGACGCCGCGUGAGGGAUGAAGGUUUUCGGAUCGUAAACCUCUGUCAGAAGGGAAGAAACUACAUUGUGCUAAUCAGCAGUGUACUGACGGUACCUUCAAAGGAAGCACCGGCUAACUCCGUGCCAGCAGCCGCGGUAAUACGGAGGGUGCAAGCGUUAAUCGGAAUUACUGGGCGUAAAGCGCACGUAGGCUGUAGUGUAAGUCAGGGGUGAAAUCCCACGGCUCAACCGUGGAACUGCCUUUGAUACUGCACAACUUGAAUCCGGGAGAGGGUGGCGGAAUUCCAGGUGUAGGAGUGAAAUCCGUAGAUAUCUGGAGGAACAUCAGUGGCGAAGGCGGCCACCUGGACCGAUAUUGACGCUGAGACGCGAAAGCGUGGGGAGCAAACAGGAUUAGAAACCCUUGUAGUCC